RNAcentral lists this ribosomal RNA (496 nucleotides) under uncultured bacterium. Its description in RNAcentral is "partial 16S ribosomal RNA". It matches the Rfam family "Bacterial small subunit ribosomal RNA", at positions 28 to 507 of the family's 1533-position model. The record is from RNAcentral.
GAUGAACGCUGGCGGCGUGCCUAAUACAUGCAAGUCGAGCGAACAGACGAGGAGCUUGCUCCUCUGACGUUAGCGGCGGACGGGUGAGUAACAUGUGGAUAACCUACCUAUAAGACUGGGAUACUUCGGGAAACCGGAGCUAAUACCGGAUAAUAUAUUGAACCGCAUGGUUCAAUAGUGAAAGACGGUUUUGCUGUCACUUAUAGAUGGAUCCGCGCCGCAUUAGCUAGUUGGUAAGGUAACGGCUUACCAAGGCAACGAUGCGUAGCCGACCUGAGAGGGUGAUCGGCCACACUGGAACUGAGACACGGUCCAGACUCCUACGGGAGGCAGCAGUAGGGAAUCUUCCGCAAUGGGCGAAAGCUUGACGGAGCAACGCCGCGUGAGUGAUGAAGGUCUUCGGAUCGUAAAACUCUGUUAUUAGGGAAGAACAAAUGUGUAAGUAACUAUGCACGUCUUGACGGUACCUAAUCAGAAAGCCACGGCUAACUACGUG